AUAAUGUUUGGCGAGGAUUCAGACGCCGUAUUUCGCCAAUAUGAAUACCCGUUAUUUUCUUCAGUGCAGGCCGGGCCAUUUUC
Molecule: transfer RNA, 83 nt
Filed under: Escherichia coli
Lineage: Bacteria; Pseudomonadati; Pseudomonadota; Gammaproteobacteria; Enterobacterales; Enterobacteriaceae
Also listed under: 1 other name
Description: tRNA-Ala(cgc)
Source: RNAcentral